AGCCCCUAGCGCAGACGGCGGAGAGCAGAGAGGGAGCGCGCCUUGGCUCGCUGGCCUUGGCGGCGGCUCCUCAGGAGAGCUGGGGCGCCCACGAGAGGAUCCCUCACCCGGGUCUCUCCUCAGGGAUGACAUCAUCCGUCCACCUCCUUGUCUUCAAGGACCACCUCCUCUCCAUGCUGAGCUGCUGCCAAGGGGCCUGCUGCCCAUCUACACCUCACGAGGGCACUAGGAGCACGGUUUCCUGGAUCCCACCAACAUACAAAGCAGCCACUCACUGACCCCCAGGACCAGGAUGGCAAAGGAUGAAGAGGACCGGAACUGACCAGCCAGCUGUCCCUCUUACCUAAAGACUUAAACCAAUGCCCUAGUGAGGGGGCAUUGGGCAUUAAGCCCUGACCUUUGCUAUGCUCAUACUUUGACUCUAUGAGUACUUUCCUAUAAGUCUUUGCUUGUGUUCACCUGCUAGCAAACUGGAGUGUUUCCCUCCCCAAGGGGGUGUCAGUCUUUGUCGACUGACUCUGUCAUCACCCUUAUGAUGUCCUGAAUGGAAGGAUCCCUUUGGGAAAUUCUCAGGAGGGGGACCUGGGCCAAGGGCUUGGCCAGCAUCCUGCUGGCAACUCCAAGGCCCUGGGUGGGCUUCUGGAAUGAGCAUGCUACUGAAUCACCAAAGGCACGCCCGACCUCUCUGAAGAUCUUCCUAUCCUUUUCUGGGGGAAUGGGGUCGAUGAGAGCAACCUCCUAGGGUUGUUGUGAGAAUUAAAUGAGAUAAAAGAGGCCUCAGGCAGGAUCUGGCAUAGAGGAGGUGAUCAGCAAAUGUUUGUUGAAAAGGUUUGACAGGUCAGUCCCUUCCCACCCCUCUUGCUUGUCUUACUUGUCUUAUUUAUUCUCCAACAGCACUCCAGGCAGCCCUUGUCCACGGGCUCUCCUUGCAUCAGGACGAAUAAUUUAUGGUCAGUGAAAAUCCAGGCCCCAGUGAGAUUCGAGUGGGCUGUAAAAUCGAGAGUCCUGCUCCCACAGGUUCCCAGUGCCCCCGACAAGCCCCUGCUGGUGUCUCCAUCUCCUGCCAAGCAUCCUCCAGUGCCUCCUCCUGUGGGCCUGGCCUCAGGGCUAUGGACAGACUCCUGUCCCAUCCCAGAGACCCCUCGUGAUCGUGCCCUGGCACGUGGGCCGUGGCCCGGCUGGGUCGGCUGAAGAACUGCGGAUGGAAGCUGCGGAAGAGGCCCUGAUGGGGCCCACCAUCCCGGACCCAAGUCUUCUUCCUGGCGGGCCUCUCGUCUCCUUCCUGGUUUGGGCGGAAGCCAUCACCUGGAUGCCUACGUGGGAAGGGACCUCGAAUGUGGGACCCCAGCCCCUCUCCAGCUCGAAAUCCCUCCACAGCCACGGGGACACCCUGCACCUAUUCCCACGGGACAGGCUGGACCCAGAGACUCUGGACCCGGGGCCUCCCCUUGAGUAGAGACCCGCCCUCUGACUGAUGGACGCCGCUGACCUGGGGUCAGACCCGUGGGCUGGACCCCUGCCCACCCCGCAGGAACCCUGAGGCCUAGGGGAGCUGUUGAGCCUUCAGUGUCUGCAUGUGGGAAGUGGGCUCCUUCACCUACCUCACAGGGCUGUUGUGAGGGGCGCUGUGAUGCGGUUCCAAAGCACAGGGCUUGGCGCACCCCACUGUGCUCUCAAUAAAUGUGUUUCCUGUCUUAACAA
This 1701-nucleotide long non-coding RNA is filed under the name Homo sapiens (human). Its description in RNAcentral is "non-protein coding lnc-DLK1-35:14". The stretch from base 536 to 640 matches the Rfam family "Maternally expressed 3 conserved region 2". Lineage: Eukaryota; Metazoa; Chordata; Mammalia; Primates; Hominidae. The record is from RNAcentral.